GAUGAACGCUGGCGGCGUGCUUAACACAUGCAAGUCGAACGAGAAGUGAAGACGGAAACCUUCGGGCGGAAGGCUUUAUUUCGAGUGGCGGACGGGUGAGUAACGCGUGGGUAACCUGCCUCAUACAGGGGGAUAACAGUUGGAAACGACUGUUAAUACCGCAUAAGACCACAGCACCGCAUGGUGCGGGGGUAAAAACUCCGGUGGUAUGAGAUGGACCCGCGUUCGAUUAGCCAGUUGGCGGGGUAACGGCCCACCAAAGCGACGAUCGAUAGCCGAUCUGAGAGGAUGACCGGACACAUUGGGACUGAGACACGGCCCAAACUCCUACGGGAGGCAGCAGUGGGGAAUAUUGCACAAUGGGGGAAACCCUGAUGCAGCGACGCCGCGUGAGUGAAGAAGUAUUUCGGUAUGUAAAGCUCUAUCAGCAGGGAAGAAAAUGACGGUACCUGAGUAAGAAGCCCCGGCUAACUACGUG
RNAcentral lists this ribosomal RNA (478 nucleotides) under uncultured bacterium. RNAcentral's name for it is "partial 16S ribosomal RNA". It matches the Rfam family "Bacterial small subunit ribosomal RNA", at positions 28 to 507 of the family's 1533-position model. The record is from RNAcentral.